CGCGCAGGCGGUCGUUCAAGUCGAGUGUGAAAGCCCCCGGCUCAACUGGGGAGGGUCAUUCGAUACUGAUCGACUCGAAGGCAGGAGAGGGUAGUGGAAUUCCCGGUGUAGUGGUGAAAUGCGUAGAUAUCGGGAGGAACACCAGUGGCGAAGGCGACUACCUGGCCUGUUCUUGAGCUGAGGCGCGAAAGCUAGGGGAGCAAACG
Molecule: ribosomal RNA, 206 nt
Filed under: uncultured bacterium
Lineage: Bacteria
Description: partial 16S ribosomal RNA
Rfam family: Bacterial small subunit ribosomal RNA
Source: RNAcentral